AACGAACGCUGGCGGCAUGCCUAACACAUGCAAGUCGAACGAGACCUUCGGGUCUAGUGGCGCAUGGGUGCGUAACGCGUGGGAACCUGCCCUUAGGUUCGGAAUAACUCCCCGAAAGGGGUGCUAAUACCGGAUAAUGUCUUCGGACCAAAGAUUUAUCGCCUUUGGAUGGGCUCGCGUUGGAUUAGCUAGUUGGUAGGGUAAAAGCCUACCACGGCGACGUUCCAUAGCUGGUCUGAGAGGAUGAUCAGCCACACUGGGACUGAGACACGGCCCAGACUCCUACGGGAGGCAGCAGUGGGGAAUAUUGGACAAUGGGCGAAAGCCUGAUCCAGCAAUGCCGCGUGAGUGAUGAAGGCCUUAGGGUUGUAAAGCUCUUUUACCCGGGAUGAUAAUGACAGUACCGGGAGAAUAAGCUCCGGCUAACUCCGUG
Molecule: ribosomal RNA, 433 nt
Filed under: uncultured bacterium
Lineage: Bacteria
Description: partial 16S ribosomal RNA
Rfam family: Bacterial small subunit ribosomal RNA
Source: RNAcentral